AAUAAUUGAUGUUUAUUUUACUAAAAAAAUUGAAAUAACAACAGAAAUUAGAGAAGGAAAAAUAAAAUUAACACUUACUUUUUUUCGGCUUAUUCAAUCACCUGGUCCCUUACCGUAAUUGAUUGUCUCAAUUUGGUCCCCUAAUUAUAAAUUGUACCAAUUUAGUCCCCUAUGUUUUGCUUCGUUACUAGUUUUAAUCCUUUCUGUUAGUUUCUCUCAAAAAAAUGUUAACUUAUGUACCAAUUUGGUCCCUUAUGUUUUGCUCUGUUACUAGUUUUAGUCCUUUUUGUUAACCUUUUUUUUAGAGAAACUAACAGAAAGGACUAAAACUAAUAACGGAGCAAAACAUAAAUGACCAAAUUAAGACAAUCAAUUAAGUUAAGGGACAAGAUGAUUGAAUAAGUUUAUUUUUUUUAACAUUUAGCGACCGAAUUUUAGUCAAAUUUUGCAUUUUUCCACCUUAAAUUUUAAUAUCUAUUUGAACUCUUUUUAGUAGUACAUACAUUCUAAUACUCUAAUUAACAAAUUGACAUGGUUUCUAAAUGCAGAGAUAAUUUAGAGAUCUAUUGUUCAGAAGUACAAAAACUUUGUUUCACAAUCAUUAGUCAAAUGGAAAAGGCUCUCAAGAUCGAAUCAAAUGAAGUAACAGAAUUAUUUAACCACAUUACUCAAGCAAUGAGGUGGAAUUUGUAUCCUCCAUGUCCUCAACCAGAAAAUGUUAUUGGACUGAAUCCUCAUUCUGAUGUUGGUGCUUUAACCAUCCUUCUACAAGCCAAUGAAAUAGAAGGCCUCCAAAUAAGAAAAGAUGGACAAUGGAUUCCUGUUCAACCCCUCCCUAAUGCUUUUGUCAUCAACAUUGGAGAUAUGUUGGAGGUAAUUAGAAACUUAUAUCAAUUCUUUUUAUUAUAUGAAGUAUUUUUUACAUGUUCAAGUAUGAAUGAAAAUUUGAUUGAAUGAUAUAGUUCAAUAAAUAAUUGGUCAAAUACCUCCCUGUGUCCUUUAAGUUUCAGGUUUGUUUCAGAUAGGUCCUUAAAGUUUCUAAGGUUUCAGAUAGAUCCUUUAUGUUUCGAGUUUGUUUCGGAUAGGUCCUUUCUGUCAAGCUUCGUUAAGUCAAAGUUGUUAUGUCCGUUAAGCCAAAGCUGAUAUGUCCGUUAAGUGGGUGAGGUGGUUCUCUCUGACACUUGACAUCAAUUUUUUCCCCAACCAGAUCAACAUUGGCUUAACGGACAGAUCAACUUUGUCUUAACGGAGGUUGACAUAAAUGACCUAUCCGAAACAAACUCGAAACUUAAAGGACCUAUCUGAAAUCUUAGAAACUUAAAAGACCUAUUCGAAACAAACUCGAAACUUAAAUGACCUAUCUAAAACCUUAGAAACUUAAAGGAUCUAUCUGAAACAAACAUGAAACUUAAAGGACCCGGGAAUGUAUUUGGCCUAAAUAAUUUAAUAAACUUUGAUUAGGACUAACUAACUAACUUUGAUUGAAGGAUAUUUUCAAUUGAGUUAAAAAAAGAUAAGAUUAUUUUAAAUCUAUAUCUCAUUAAUUCAACUUUGGACUCUUAACAAAAAGAAUUGAGUUUUAUGAAUUAUUCCUACCUUAAUAUUAAAAUUAUUAAAUGGUAUUGCAGAUAGUAACAAAUGGAAUAUACCGAAGCAUUGAACAUCGAGCAACAGUUAAUUCAGAAAAAGAAAGGAUUUCCAUUGCUGCAUUUCAUAGGCCUCAUGUGA
This 1728-nucleotide long non-coding RNA is filed under the name Medicago truncatula (barrel medic). RNAcentral's name for it is "long non-coding RNA (MTRU_LNC003203)". Lineage: Eukaryota; Viridiplantae; Streptophyta; Magnoliopsida; Fabales; Fabaceae. The record is from RNAcentral.